GAUGAACGCUGGCGGCGUGCCUAAUACAUGCAAGUCGAGCGAACAGACGAGGAGCUUGCUCCUCUGACGUUAGCGGCGGACGGGUGAGUAACAUGUGGAUAACCUACCUAUAAGACUGGGAUAACUUCGGGAAACCGGAGCUAAUACCGGAUAAUAUAUUGAACCGCAUGGUUCAAUAGUGAAAGACGGUUUUGCUGUCACUUAUAGAUGGAUCCGCGCCGCAUUAGCUAGUUGGUAAGGUAACGGCUUACCAAGGCAACGAUGCGUAGCCGACCUGAGAGGGUGAUCGGGCACACUGGAACUGAGGCACGGUCCAGACUCCUACGGGAGGCAGCAGUAGGGAAUCUUCCGCGAUGGGGGAAAGCCUGACGGAGCAACGCCGCGUGAGUGAUGAAGGUCUUCGGAUCGUAAAACUCUGUUAUUAGGGAAGAACAAAUGUGUAAGUAACUGUGCACGUCUUGACGGUACCUGAUCAGAAAGCCACGGCUAACUACGUG
RNAcentral lists this ribosomal RNA (497 nucleotides) under uncultured bacterium. Its description in RNAcentral is "partial 16S ribosomal RNA". It matches the Rfam family "Bacterial small subunit ribosomal RNA", at positions 28 to 507 of the family's 1533-position model. The record is from RNAcentral.